UGGUAAACACUUUUUUCAUUGUUGCGUAAUCAAUAAAUAUCAACAAUACAUUUUCAGAGAUUGUCGAAGCUAUUUGUUGGAUUAAAUAGAUAUCGAAUGCGAAUUUGGUUUUAAAAAAUGAAUAUUUCUUGAUCCCGCUGAAAAAUUGGGCAUGGACCAAUAUCCAUUGGAAUUAUGUGAAGAAGUGAAAGUCAUGGAUGAAGUCAACCGCAUCGUGAGUUUGCCAAUCUAAAGAUAAGAGACAGGGUGUAUAGGAAUGGCACCCGAAAUAUCCAUGACGUGUCACUUCGGGAUUUUCGAUUCAUCUUGAUAUUUACCAGAAAUACUGAACAAUAUGAUGACAUUAAUCGAUCUGUUAUCCGGCUGUCUAUCAGAAAUAGUCUAUAACAAAGCUAUAAGGAUAUUCUUCCAGUAAGAGUGACGAAAAUCCAAAAUUAUAUUUUUUAAAAAGCGUUUAAGAAAACAAAACUCAGAUUGUUGAAA
Centruroides sculpturatus (bark scorpion) is the source of this 483-nucleotide long non-coding RNA. RefSeq lists it as uncharacterized. NCBI's taxonomy places the organism in Eukaryota, Metazoa, Arthropoda, Arachnida, Scorpiones, Buthidae. The record is from RefSeq and is a predicted model, not a curated record. The transcript has 3 exons.